Molecule: non-coding RNA, 1084 nt
Organism: Phoenix dactylifera (date palm)
Lineage: Eukaryota; Viridiplantae; Streptophyta; Magnoliopsida; Arecales; Arecaceae
Source: RefSeq, a predicted model, not a curated record
CCGGUUGAUGAAUUCAUAGGUAAGUUGAUGUAUUGUGCUCUUUACCACUACUGGCCGGUACAAGUAAUGAAAUAUUACUAGGUAGUAUAUAGCUACGAUUUUGUAUACCAAUUCUAAAUAUGUCAGCAGGAGAAGAUAUCGUGCAAUUUUAAUAUUUACUCUUUUCAUUUUUUUUCAUAAAUUGAUUAGCAGAAUCAUGCAAUUUUUUCUUUGAAAAAAGAAGGAUGUUUAUUUGAUUUUCUUUUUAAUAUACUGAUCAUAUAUUUCAUUCAAAACCUGGUUUACAUCUUCUCCAUGAAACUGGAACUGUGGAUAUGGCUUUGCUAGAGAAUUAAAGUCUUUCACAUCAUACACUUGUAUGUUUUUACGUAAGAUGAUCUUUAUGACAAGCAUACAUCACCUCUAUUGCAUACUUUUUGCAAAGAUAGUUUUUUCUCCUCUUUUCUCACUAGAAAAAUUUUCCCUCGUUUUCUCUACCAGUAUCUUCACGAUCCACGAGCCAAAAAUUAUUUUUAUUUUUUGAUUUUUUGAUUUAUCCUGUGUUUGUUUUGCUUCUCCUCAGGGUGGUUCAUCGGCAACUAGAAUCAAUAAAAUGGGCAAGUCAACCAAGAAACCUAAUGUUGAGGUUGUUGUAGCUCCUGUGUCGGCUCUGCUUGCAAAAUUUACUAAAAAAGGCAAGAGGGAUGCGAAAGAAGCAAUGGAGAAACCAGUGAGAGCAAAGAAGCAGAAGAGAGAAGUUGAGCUGGAGAGGGGAAGCAAGAAAAGGAAACCCUCAUAGGAGAAAGUGCUUGCUCCCUCCACUCAUCGCUGAAGGUCGUUUUCUUCCAUGCAAAAAAAAUAGUUUAUAAUGUUUCUGGUCUUGCAGGUGCUGUCAACAAUGUUUUUGAUAUGCAUGGCACUAAAAUGAGAGCUAAAAAUAGCAGCAUCGUUUAUCCGUACUGGAUGUACCAAUGCUUAGCUUAUUAGGAGUUCCCUCUCGUCCCCUACCACCGCCACUACCACGUCAACAUGUUGUUAGAUGUAUGCCCUAGAAGCCAAUCUGGCGGACACAUUAUUAAUUCUAGGACAUAAAUUUGUACUUGAC